UACGAAGGGGGCUAGCGUUGUUCGGAUUUACUGGGCGUAAAGCGCACGUAGGCGGAUCUUUAAGUCAGAGGUGAAAUCCCAAGGCUCAACCUUGGAACUGCCUUUGAUACUGGGGAUCUUGAGUCCGGGAGAGGUGAGUGGAACUGCGAGUGUAGAGGUGAAAUUCGUAGAUAUCAGGAAGAACACCUAUGGCGAAGGCAGCACUCUGGGACGGUACUGACGCUGAGACGCGAAAGCGUGGGGAGCAAACUGG
This 253-nucleotide ribosomal RNA is filed under the name uncultured bacterium. RNAcentral describes it as "partial 16S ribosomal RNA". It matches the Rfam family "Bacterial small subunit ribosomal RNA", at positions 524 to 776 of the family's 1533-position model. The record is from RNAcentral.